GAUGAACGCUGGCGGCGUGCCUAAUACAUGCAAGUCGAGCGAACGGACGAGAAGCUUGCUUCUCUGAUGUUAGCGGCGGGCGGGUGAGUAACACGUGGAUAACCUACCUAUAAGACUGGGAUAACUUCGGGAAACCGGAGCUAAUACCGGAUAAUAUUUUGAACCGCAUGGUUCAAAAGUGAAAGACGGUCUUGCUGUCACUUAUAGAUGGAUCCGCGCUGCAUUAGCUAGUUGGUAAGGUAACGGCUUACCAAGGCAACGAUGCAUAGCCGACCUGAGAGGGUGAUCGGCCACACUGGAACUGAGACAAGGUCCAGACUCCUACGGGAGGAAGCAGUAGGAAAUCUUCCGCAAUGGGCGAAAGCCUGACGGAGCAACGCCGCGUGAGUGAUGAAGGUCUUCGGAUCGUAAAACUCUGUUAUUAGGGAAGAACAUAUGUGUAAGUAACUGUGCACAUCUUGACGGUACCUAAUCAGAAAGCCACGGCUAACUACGUG
This 497-nucleotide ribosomal RNA is filed under the name uncultured bacterium. Its description in RNAcentral is "partial 16S ribosomal RNA". It matches the Rfam family "Bacterial small subunit ribosomal RNA", at positions 28 to 507 of the family's 1533-position model. The record is from RNAcentral.